Molecule: unclassified non-coding RNA, 335 nt
Filed under: soil metagenome
Description: partial contains 5.8S ribosomal RNA, internal transcribed spacer 2, and large subunit ribosomal RNA
Rfam family: 5.8S ribosomal RNA (bases 1-120)
Source: RNAcentral
GAUGAAGAACGUAGCGAAAUGCGAUAAGUAAUGUGAAUUGCAGAAUUCAGUGAAUCAUCGAAUCUUUGAACGCACAUUGCGCCCGCUAGUAUUCUGGCGGGCAUGCCUGUCCGAGCGUCAUUUCAACCAUCAAGCCCCAGGCUUGUGUUGGGGACCUGCGGCUGCCGCAGGCCCUGAAAACCAGUGGCGGGCUCGCUGUCACACCGGGCGUAGUAGAUUUUAUCUCGCUCAGGGCGUGCUGCGGGUUCCGGCCGUUAAAAGCCUUUUUUACCCAAGGUUGACCUCGGAUCAGGUAGGAAUACCCGCUGAACUUAAGCAUAUCAAUAAGCGGAGGA